RNAcentral lists this ribosomal RNA (478 nucleotides) under uncultured bacterium. RNAcentral's name for it is "partial 16S ribosomal RNA". It matches the Rfam family "Bacterial small subunit ribosomal RNA", at positions 28 to 523 of the family's 1533-position model. The record is from RNAcentral.
GACGAACGCUGGCGGCGUGCUUAACACAUGCAAGUCGAACGGUAAGGCCCUUCGGGGUACACGAGUGGCGAACGGGUGAGUAACACGUGGGUGAUCUGCCCUGCACUUCGGGAUAAGCCUGGGAAACUGGGUCUAAUACCGGAUAGGACCCUGGGAUGCAUGUCCUGGGGUGGAAAGCUUUUGCGGUGUGGGAUGGGCCCGCGGCCUAUCAGCUUGUUGGUGGGGUGAUGGCCUACCAAGGCGACGGCGGGUAGCCGGCCUGAGAGGGUGACCGGCCACACUGGGACUGAGAUACGGCCCAGACUCCUACGGGAGGCAGCAGUGGGGAAUAUUGCACAAUGGGUGCAAGCCUGAUGCAGCGACGCCGCGUGAGGGAUGACGGCCUUCGGGUUGUAAACCUCUUUCAGCACCGACGAAGCGCAAGUGACGGUAGGUGCAGAAGAAGGACCGGCCAACUACGUGCCAGCAGCCGCCGUAA